GACGAACGCUGGCGGCGUGCUUAACACAUGCAAGUCGAACGGAAAGGCCCUGCUUGCAGGGUGCUCGAGUGGCGAACGGGUGAGUAACACGUGGGUGAUCUGCCCCUUACUUUGGGAUAAGCCUGGGAAACUGGGUCUAAUACUGGAUAGGACCAUGCUGUAGGUGGUGUGGUGGAAAGAUUAGUUUCGGUAAGGGAUGAGCUCGCGGCCUAUCAGCUUGUUGGUGGGGUAAUGGCCUACCAAGGCGUCGACGGGUAGCCGGCCUGAGAGGGUGGACGGCCACAUUGGGACUGAGAUACGGCCCAGACUCCUACGGGAGGCAGCAGUGGGGAAUAUUGCACAAUGGGUGCAAGCCUGAUGCAGCGACGCCGCGUGGGGGAUGACGGCCUUCGGGUUGUAAACUCCUUUCAGCCAUGACGAAGCCCUUGUGGUGACGGUAGUGGUAGAAGAAGCACCGGCUAACUACGUG
RNAcentral lists this ribosomal RNA (469 nucleotides) under uncultured bacterium. RNAcentral describes it as "partial 16S ribosomal RNA". It matches the Rfam family "Bacterial small subunit ribosomal RNA", at positions 28 to 507 of the family's 1533-position model. The record is from RNAcentral.